Molecule: transfer RNA, 74 nt
Filed under: Mesorhizobium sp.
Lineage: Bacteria; Pseudomonadati; Pseudomonadota; Alphaproteobacteria; Hyphomicrobiales; Phyllobacteriaceae
Description: tRNA-Gly
Rfam family: tRNA
About the family: Transfer RNA (tRNA) molecules are approximately 80 nucleotides in length. Their secondary structure includes four short double-helical elements and three loops (D, anti-codon, and T loops).
Source: RNAcentral
GCGGGUAUGAUGUAAUGGUAGCUUAUCAGCUUCCCAAGCUGAACGCGCGGGUUCGAUUCCCGCUACCCGCUCCA